AACGAACGCUGGCGGCGCGCCUAAUACAUGCAAGUCGAGCGAGAAGACGUAGCAAUACGUUUGUAAAGCGGCGAACGGGUGAGGAAUACAUGGGUAACCUACCCUCGAGUGGGGAAUAACUAGCCGAAAGGUUAGCUAAUACCGCGUACGCUCCUUGGACUUCGGUUCAGGGAGGAAAGCGAUACCGUGGGUAUCGCGCUCUUGGAUGGGCUCAUGUCCUAUCAGCUUGUUGGUGAGGUAACGGCUCACCAAGGCUUCGACGGGUAGCUGGUCUGAGAGGACAAUCAGCCACACUGGCACUGCGACACGGGCCAGACUCCUACGGGAGGCAGCAGUAAGGAAUAUUGCGCAAU
RNAcentral lists this ribosomal RNA (353 nucleotides) under uncultured bacterium. RNAcentral describes it as "bacterial SSU rRNA". It matches the Rfam family "Bacterial small subunit ribosomal RNA", at positions 29 to 372 of the family's 1533-position model. The record is from RNAcentral.